RNAcentral lists this ribosomal RNA (490 nucleotides) under uncultured bacterium. Its description in RNAcentral is "partial 16S ribosomal RNA". It matches the Rfam family "Bacterial small subunit ribosomal RNA", at positions 30 to 507 of the family's 1533-position model. The record is from RNAcentral.
AUUGAACGCUGGCGGCAGGCCUAACACAUGCAAGUCGAACGGUAACAGGAAGAAGCUUGCUUCUUUGCUGACGAGUGGCGGACGGGUGAGUAAUGUCUGGGAAACUGCCUGAUGGAGGGGGAUAACUACUGGAAACGGUAGCUAAUACCGCAUAACGUCGCAAGACCAAAGAGGGGGACCUUCGGGCCUCUUGCCAUCGGAUGUGCCCAGAUGGGAUUAGCUAGUAGGUGGGGUAACGGCUCACCUAGGCGACGAUCCCUAGCUGGUCUGAGAGGAUGACCAGCCACACUGGAACUGAGACACGGUCCAGACUCCUACGGGAGGCAGCAGUGGGGAAUAUUGCACAAUGGGCGCAAGCCUGAUGCAGCCAUGCCGCGUGUAUGAAGAAGGCCUUCGGGUUGUAAAGUGCUUUCAGCGGGGAGGAAGGGAGUAAAGUUAAUACCUUUGCUCAUUGACGUUACCCGCAGAAGAAGCACCGGCUAACUCCGUG